RNAcentral lists this ribosomal RNA (439 nucleotides) under uncultured bacterium. Its description in RNAcentral is "partial 16S ribosomal RNA". It matches the Rfam family "Bacterial small subunit ribosomal RNA", at positions 339 to 795 of the family's 1533-position model. The record is from RNAcentral.
CUACGGGCUGCAGCAGUGAGGAAUAUUGCACAAUGGGGGAAACCCUGAUGCAGCAACGCCGCGUGGAGGAUGACGCAUUUCGGUGUGUAAACUCCUUUUAUGAGUCAAGAAAAUGACGGUAGCUCAUGAAUAAGCACCGGCUAACUCCGUGCCAGCAGCCGCGGUAAUACGGAGGGUGCAAGCGUUACUCGGAAUCACUGGGCGUAAAGGACGCGUAGGCGGGCUUGUAAGUCAGGUGUGAAAUCCUACAGCUUAACUGUAGAACUGCACUUGAAACUACGAGCCUAGAGUAUGGGAGGGGCAGAUGGAAUUAGUGGUGUAGGGGUAAAAUCCGUAGAUAUCACUAGGAAUACCGGGAGCGAAGGCGAUCUGCUGGAACAUUACUGACGCUAAGGCGUGAAAGCGUGGGGAGCAAACGGGAUUAGAUACCCCGGUAGUC